RNAcentral lists this transfer RNA (84 nucleotides) under Sphingomicrobium lutaoense. RNAcentral's name for it is "tRNA-Leu". It matches the Rfam family "tRNA". Rfam says of the family: Transfer RNA (tRNA) molecules are approximately 80 nucleotides in length. Lineage: Bacteria; Pseudomonadati; Pseudomonadota; Alphaproteobacteria; Sphingomonadales; Sphingomicrobiaceae. The record is from RNAcentral.
GCCUCCGUGGCGGAAUUGGUAGACGCGCUCGACUCAAAAUCGAGUUCCUUUGGAGUGUCGGUUCGAGUCCGACCGGAGGUACCA